RNAcentral lists this transfer RNA (58 nucleotides) under Diaphorina citri (Asian citrus psyllid). It matches the Rfam family "tRNA", at positions 8 to 63 of the family's 71-position model. From Rfam's summary of the family: Transfer RNA (tRNA) molecules are approximately 80 nucleotides in length. Their secondary structure includes four short double-helical elements and three loops (D, anti-codon, and T loops). The record is from Rfam by way of RNAcentral. Lineage: Eukaryota; Metazoa; Arthropoda; Insecta; Hemiptera; Psyllidae.
UAGCUUGGUGGUCAAAGCGUCUGCCUUGUAAGCGCUAGGUCGCGGGUUCGAUUCCCGC